GGAGGGUGCAAGCGUUAAUCGGAAUUACUGGGCGUAAAGCGUGCGCAGGCGGUUUGUUAAGUCUGCUGUGAAAUCCCCGAGCUCAACUUGGGAAUUGCAGUGGAUACUGGCAGGCUGGAGUAUGGUAGAGGAAGGUGGAAUUCCCGGUGUAGCAGUGAAAUGCGUAGAGAUCGGGAGGAACACCAGUGGCGAAGGCGGCCUUCUGGACCAAUACUGACGCUCAUGCACGAAAGCGUGGGGAGCAAACAGG
This 250-nucleotide ribosomal RNA is filed under the name uncultured bacterium. RNAcentral describes it as "partial 16S ribosomal RNA". It matches the Rfam family "Bacterial small subunit ribosomal RNA", at positions 527 to 776 of the family's 1533-position model. The record is from RNAcentral.